This is an RNA transcript of Harpegnathos saltator (Jerdon's jumping ant), 911 nucleotides long. RefSeq lists it as uncharacterized. The transcript has 4 exons. Lineage: Eukaryota; Metazoa; Arthropoda; Insecta; Hymenoptera; Formicidae. The record is from RefSeq and is a predicted model, not a curated record.
UGCUGUGGCGCGAUUCUUUAACUCGUUAUGCAGUCGUUAUGUGUUAAUAACGACUGUUUUUGGUUUGUUUUAUAACGAGAUGUCGCUGUAACGAUAAAUGCGAUUCUAUAAGAAACUGUCAACAAAUUUCAUCGUUAUUAAUACCAAAAAGCAUCGAUAACUUGUUGUUAUGUGUCACUAUCAUAACGUGAGGUCCACUACCCCUCGAUAUGGCAUAACGAGAGUCUGCGAAACCGCAAAGAAACGCGGAAACCGAUAUUUAUCUCACUCUACUUAUGCCUAGUGCAGUAGUACAGCCGUAAAUAUCGAAAUACAGCCCUUGUAAAUGUGCAUCAAAACACUUGUGUACGUGAAACAUCAAGUAGCAUAAACGAUAUUUUUUCUAUUGGAUGCAAUCGGUGAAUAAUAUAUCAGAAAUGGCCAUUGAAUAUUUAAUAUGGGAAUUACCAUUGCUCCUAGAAAGGAUACGUCGAUUAGAACGGCGUUUAGAGAGAAGACAGUUAAGAGACGCGCAAGAUCCUUUUGCUCUUCCACGAGAAGAGUUUAUAAACUGUUUUCGUCUUACUCCAGAAGUUGCAAUGUAUGUAAUUGAUGUGAUACGGGCUGACUUAUGGAGCGAACGGACUACUGGUUUACAACCAGAAAUAAAGGUAGCUUCCAAAGAAGUGUUGGUAAUCUAUUUCAGUUUAAUGUUAGCCAACCAACAACAAACCGUUGCAUUCACGCUGUGACUGAUGCAAUAAAUUUACGCUUACUACGUAGAUGGAUUAAAUUUCCAAUGACGGAAGUCUUUAAUAAUCACAGUCAAAUCUAAUUAAUUUCGGAGUAGGCCCACCAAUAUUACCUGUUGCAGCUUUAUUGGCUCGCAUUUUUGCUACUUUCUGAGAAACAGUGGUUUUAUUGUCUCUCCA